CGAAAGCCUGACGGAGCAAUACCGCGUGAGGGAGGAAGGCUCUUGGGUCGCAAACCUCUUUUCUCAGGGAAGAACACAAUGACGGUACCUGAGGAAUAAGCAUCGGCUAACUCCGUGCCAGCAGCCGCGGUAAUACGGAGGAUGCAAGCGUUAUCCGGAAUGAUUGGGCGUAAAGCGUCCGCAGGUGGCUAUGUAAGUCUGCUGUUAAAGAGUCUAGCUCAACUAGAUAAGAGCAGUGGAAACUACACAGCUAGAGUACGUUCGGGGCAGAGGGAAUUCCUGGUGUAGCGGUGAAAUGCGUAGAGAUCAGGAAGAACACCGGUGGCGAAGGCGCUCUGCUAGGCCGUAACUGACACUGAGGGACGAAAGCUAGGGGAGCG
Molecule: ribosomal RNA, 380 nt
Filed under: uncultured cyanobacterium
Lineage: Bacteria; Bacillati; Cyanobacteriota
Description: bacterial SSU rRNA
Rfam family: Bacterial small subunit ribosomal RNA
Source: RNAcentral